UACAAUAAAUGAAAAGAAAAAAUAAAAAUCAAAGAGUUGCGCCCAGUUUAAUGGUUGUAAUUGUGGCCAAAUGAAAUAUGGCAUCGAACGAUACGGACUCCUCCGUCGUGGGUGUUGCCCGCCUCUAUAUCGACGCUUACACGCUAUAAAUAUUUUAAAUGAUUAUCUCCGUGCUCCGGCUCGUCAUUUACAUAAGCGACGAUCGAAUGCCGCGCUUAAAAUAUUCGCACCGCGCCAAACGAAUGUCUAUUGCAAACUGCAUCCAGUGAUUUAAAUUGUUAGUGCGCUUCGAAAUCUUCGAACCGAUGCGUAUUAUGCGCGUCCCGUUCAACAUCAGAUUCUUAUUUGUGUCCAAAAAGCGUUCGGAAGACUUAAAGCUAGCCCGGUUGAUGUAUGGCGGCGACACGUGAAUGCCGACCUUUAUAUUCAAAUCGACGUUAUUCAAAUCGGCUCGUUGUCUAUUCCACGGUUGACAGUUCGCUUACGUUUCACAAAUCGUAAAAAAGGUAAACCGCGAAACGUCAUAUCACGCGAAAUUCGAUUUUAGAAUGUGAGUUUUUGGCGGGCUCACGAUACGCAUCUAUCUGGGCGGCGUCCAUGUUUUGUUUUGUUUACGUUCGAUUGUGUCCGCUUCGGACGCGGCCCGAGAUCGGUAGAUAUUUGACGUGAGUCGCUGAUAAAGUUAGCGUUUUGCGGCGGCCGGCGCGUUAACGAGAUAGCGAGCGCUGGUUGCUGCGGAGGAAAAAUAGAGGAACUGACGGGAUCGUCUCCAAAAAAAAAAAACCAUAGAGCACUUAUUUUUUUACUGUAAUUGAGUUUUUAAUAAAGAUGAAUCGGACCGUGCAAAAUAGUUUGAAAUAAAAUAAAAAUACACAAAA
Bombyx mori (domestic silkworm) is the source of this 878-nucleotide long non-coding RNA. RefSeq lists it as uncharacterized. The transcript is spliced from 2 exons. The record is from RefSeq and is a predicted model, not a curated record. NCBI's taxonomy places the organism in Eukaryota, Metazoa, Arthropoda, Insecta, Lepidoptera, Bombycidae.